Molecule: small nuclear RNA, 150 nt
Filed under: Camelus ferus (Wild Bactrian camel)
Lineage: Eukaryota; Metazoa; Chordata; Mammalia; Artiodactyla; Camelidae
Description: U1 spliceosomal RNA
Rfam family: U1 spliceosomal RNA
About the family: U1 is a small nuclear RNA (snRNA) component of the spliceosome (involved in pre-mRNA splicing).
Source: Rfam by way of RNAcentral
AUACUUGCCUGGCAGAGGAGACACCAUGAUCACAAAGGUGGUUUUCCCAGGGUGAGGCUUAUCCAUUGCACUCUUGCAACUUCCCCAAAUGUGCGAAACUUGACUCCAUAAUUUGUGGUGGGGGGGGGACUGCGUUUGUGCUUCCCCACC